CUGAUCCCUGCCCCCAGAGGCACUGGCAUUGUCUCAGCCCCUGUGCCCAAGAAGCUGCUGAUGAUGGCUGGUACUGAUGACUGCUACACUUCUGCUGAGGGCUGCACUGCUACUUUGGGCAACUUUGCUAAGGCCACCUUUGAUGCCAUCUCCAGGACCCACAGCUAUCUGACCCCUGACCUGUGGAAAGAGACAGUGUUCACCAAGUCUCCUAUUAGGAAUUCAUCCACCAUCUUGUGAAAACCCACACCAGAGUCUCUGUCCAGAGGACUCAAACUCCAGCAGUAGCUACAACAUAAAGGGGUUUUACACAAGCAAAAUAAAAUGAAUUAAAUCUGCUGAAAACAG
This is a long non-coding RNA of Octodon degus (degu), 348 nucleotides long. RefSeq lists it as uncharacterized. Lineage: Eukaryota; Metazoa; Chordata; Mammalia; Rodentia; Octodontidae. The transcript is spliced from 3 exons. The record is from RefSeq and is a predicted model, not a curated record.